AAGGUAGCGAAAUUCCUUGUCAGGUAAGUUCUGACCCGCACGAAUGGCGUAAUGAUUUGGGCACUGUCUCAACAGCCCGCCCGGCGAAAUUGUAGUACUGGUGAAGAUGCCAGUUACCCGCAACUAGACGGAAAGACCCCAUGGAGCUUUACUGUAGCCUAAUACUGAAGAUCGGUAAUGCAUGUACAGGAUAGGUGGGAGCCAGCGAAACCCGGGCGUCAGCUCGGAUGGAGGCAACCUUGGAAUACCACCCUUGUAUUGCUGGUUUUCUAACCUGCGGCCAUGAAUCUGGUCGGGGGACACUGUUAGGUGGGCAGUUUGACUGGGGCGGUCGCCUCCAAAAGCGUAACGGAGGCGCUCAAAGGUUGGCUCAGCACGGACGGAAAUCGUGCAUAGAGUGCAAACGCAUAAGCCAACUUGACUGCGAGACCGACGGGUCGAGCAGGUACGAAAGUAGGAGUUAGUGAUCCGGUGGUAUGUGAGUGGAAAUGCCAUCGCUCAACGGAUAAAAGCUACCCUGGGGAUAACAGGCUGAUCUCCCCCAAGAGUCCACAUCGACGGGGAGGUUUGGCACCUCGAUGUCGGCUCAUCACAUCCUGGGGCUGUAUUCGGUCCCAAGGGUUCGGCUGUUCGCCGAUUAAAGUGGCACGCGAGCUGGGUUCAGAACGUCGUGAGACAGUUCGGUCCCUAUCUGUUGCGGGCGUAAGAGAUUUGAAGGGAGCUGUCCUUAGUACGAGAGGACCGGGAUGGACGUACCUCUGGUGCACCAGUUGUCCUGCCAAGGGCAUAGCUGGGUAGCUAUGUACGGACGAGAUAAACGCUGAAAGCAUCUAAGCGUGAAACUCCCCCUAAGAUGAGAUCUCUCAUCCUUCAAGGAGUAAGGACCCAGAAAGACGAUCUGGUUGAUAGGCCGAAGGUGGAAGCGCAGUAAUGUGUGCAGCUGAUCGGUACUAAUAGUCCGAGGGCUUGACCUA
This 974-nucleotide ribosomal RNA is filed under the name human gut metagenome. RNAcentral describes it as "bacterial LSU rRNA". It matches the Rfam family "Bacterial large subunit ribosomal RNA", at positions 1953 to 2925 of the family's 2925-position model. The record is from RNAcentral.